UUUGCCACACAGCAGCCAAACUGGCGGGAGCACGAUCGAGGCGCAGCAGAAUACAUGUAGCGCUGAGUCAUAUCGAGUUAAGGCACACUCUGAACUGACUUUUAAGGGCAUCCCGAGCGGUUUUUCAUUUAUUACGCCGUCGUUACCCUGAGUUAAAUUGUGCCGCCGCGCUCCAGCUGUUGCAUUUCGUGUAGUGCUACUGCCAGAAUGCGGUUUCCAGGUGGCACGAUGGCCUCGACUGGAAUAAACGCACACGACACCAAAGAUUGAGUAAGCCUGAAAAUAUUUUAUUUGCAUUUUACAAGUACAACAAAAAUCACACGUCUACGCAUCCACACAAACGCGGUUACAUAAUCAAGAACAUAGUCAAGAAAUUGCUCAUUAAUAAGGGUAGCACAAACGCACAAGAAAGAAGACCUAAGCUACAAAACGUACGGUCGGCUGCUAAGUAUAAUAAUUUCCCUGUCACCGCGUGUCACUAUUAUACAGCAUCUUUACAGCACUACCAGGCCGUGUAGUUUGGCGGAAAGAACGCAACAGCUUAUACGGCCGUCAGCUGCCUCUUCCUUACGGGUGUCAUAAUUAUCCUAAUCUCCGCAUCAACGUCGUGCAAGUUCGCAUACAGGCAUCUGUAUCUGAACCAUAUGUGCCAGCUUAAUACACGUGUAGUGAAAUUAUGAUAACCACUGCGUCUUAUCAAACGUAUUGGUUUUGCAAAUGCGCAUUACAGCUGACGGAACGACAUACUGUAAGUGAAGCACAAGAGAACAAGGACAAAAGGAGGAUAUAACACUUGAAGAAAUGAAGGAUUAGUAGGCAUACAGCAAACAAGCGAUGACGGAGAACACACAAUGAUGCAUCGGGUGUUCUGUGACAUCGGUUUGCGUACUUACGGUGUUAUGGAGAUCAACUGCAUAAAAACGUACCUUCAAGCGUACUCCCUCAACCUCCGCCGCAUUCAUUAUGAUAAUCAACGCCUAAACAAAAUGAGGCACUAUUCUUUGCCAAGAGUAGACCUUUUUACAGCGUCUAUGUAAUGACUCGCAGACGAAACCAGCAUGCUUUCGAAAAUGUUUUACCGCCGUAGUAUUCGAACGCCAACGGCCAGGAAACACAUCGAUACCAAUAGGCUGUCGGCUGUCGGUGGUUAAUCGAGCACAAAAACCUUGACGCUAUGACUAAAAAGCAGCUUCAACAAUCAAAUUAAAAAAAAAUCAACUGCCUAUUUGCCUGAGGUAAAAAAGCAUCCUUAGACACCUCGGGCGCGAUCUUGUACGCGUUCCAAAAUAGAACGGACCGCCUCCGUUCUAAACGUCACGAAAUAGGCGGUUCGCAGUGUUCGCGAGAACGAGAGGAAGCAAACAGCCAAUGAGCGAAGUGGAAGCCUGCGUCACGCUUUUGACGUCUGCUUGGGGACCGUAUAAUAUAUUGAGAAGCGUUUGCAACAUGUUGAGAAAUAUUUUGCUAUUAUGAGUGAGUAGCAAAAUGCGUUGGUGUUGCUUUUCAAAGAUUCAAUUUGGAAUGCAAAACAACUGAAACAAAAUAUUGUGGUUAAUGUCUUCAAAUGGCGCUAGGUGGUGUCGCAGUUUUGCGAAACGUUUAGUGAUGGCGCUAGCUACCACCCCGUUUGAAGCACACGGCGCGAAUUUUGAAGCGGUUGGUUUAGUCGUUCAGUUGAAGCCAUGGCGCUUAACGUAGAAGCACCGACGAAGGGGCCGCGCGUGUCGGCGGCUCAGAAGGAGACGGUGGUCGCCUUCAUGCAAGAGCAUCCCCAGCUGGCUAUAAGAUCCAGCGAGCUGGGGCCACGCUUCACUGCUGGCGACCGCCGACGGCUGUGGCAGCAGCUAGCCGACCAGCUCAACACGCAAGGCCCCGUCGUGAAAACCGUCGAGCAGUGGCAAGAGUGGUGGCGGAAGCAAGUCUUCGAGGCGCGCCGCAACGCUGCCGCACUUGCCCAAGAACAAAGGUGAGUGACUGUCCAAUGGCCUGGGCGAUUUGUCCUUCGACAUUGGCGUGUAUUUUCAGAAAAACAGGAGGGGGCGGCUGCAUGGCUUCCAUGGCAGAGUACUGCAGCUCACCGGGACGGUCCGCCUCCACGGCGUGACCGACCUCCCCUACCAAGAGCAGGCUGACGUCCCCACCUAUGCGAUGGAAGUCGUCGUCGAAGACGAGGCUGCGGGCGUGAGCACAGCGACACCGGCAGAGGAUCCACCGCGCGGCGCGGCGCCUGCCGAAAGGGUGGCCGCUGCACCUG
Molecule: non-coding RNA, 2254 nt
Organism: Dermacentor andersoni
Lineage: Eukaryota; Metazoa; Arthropoda; Arachnida; Ixodida; Ixodidae
Source: RefSeq, a predicted model, not a curated record